Molecule: small nucleolar RNA, 132 nt
Organism: Mastomys coucha (southern multimammate mouse)
Lineage: Eukaryota; Metazoa; Chordata; Mammalia; Rodentia; Muridae
Product: small nucleolar RNA SNORA17
Exons: 1
Source: RefSeq, a predicted model, not a curated record
CCUGCCCCUAGAGUCCCUGUAGGUGUGGCUGCUGGGUCUCAUUUGCAUCAGUAGAUGGCAGAGAGGAAAGAGGCUACAUCUACCCUCAGUGCUCUGACCUGUGAGCAUCGGAAUGAUUAGUAGAUUCCCUGG